Molecule: ribosomal RNA, 253 nt
Filed under: uncultured bacterium
Lineage: Bacteria
Description: partial 16S ribosomal RNA
Rfam family: Bacterial small subunit ribosomal RNA
Source: RNAcentral
UACAGAGGUCUCAAGCGUUGUUCGGAUUCAUUGGGCGUAAAGGGUGCGUAGGCGGCGCGGUAAGUCGGGUGUGAAAUCUCGGGGCUUAACUCCGAAACUGCAUUCGAUACUGCCGUGCUUGAGGACUGGAGAGGAGACUGGAAUUUACGGUGUAGCGGUGAAAUGCGUAGAUAUUGGGAAGAACACCUGAGGCGAAGGCGGGUUGCUGGGCUGAUACUGACGCUGAGGCGCGAAAGCCAGGGGAGCAAACGGG